RNAcentral lists this ribosomal RNA (350 nucleotides) under Eukaryota sp. RNAcentral describes it as "SSU rRNA". It matches the Rfam family "Eukaryotic small subunit ribosomal RNA", at positions 1324 to 1699 of the family's 1831-position model. The record is from RNAcentral.
GGCGUUAACGAAGACCUUAACCUGCUAAAUAGCCAGGCUAGCUUUGGCUGGUCGCCGGCUUCUUAGAGGGACUAUCGGCUCAAGCCGAUGGAAGUUUGAGGCAAUAACAGGUCUGCGAUGCCCUUAGAUGUUCUGGGCCGCACGCGCGCUACACUGACAGAGCCAACGAGUUCAUCACCUUGGCCGAAAGGCUUGGGUAAUCUUGUUAAACUCUGUCGUGCUGGGGAUAGAGCAUUGCAAUUAUUGCUCUUCAACGAGGAAUGCCUAGUAAGCGCGUGUCAUCAGCACGCGUUGAUUACGUCCCUGCCCUUUGUACACACCGCCCGUCGCUAAUACCGAUUGAAUGGCUG